CACAUACUCCCUCCGUCCGGAAUUACUUGUCGCAGAAAUGGAUAAAAAUGAAUGUAUCUAGAAUUAAAAUACGUCUAGAUACGUCAAUUCCUUCGACAAGUAAUUUGGGACAGAGAGAGUAUUUU
Non-coding RNA from Triticum aestivum (bread wheat), 125 nucleotides. NCBI's taxonomy places the organism in Eukaryota, Viridiplantae, Streptophyta, Magnoliopsida, Poales, Poaceae. The record is from Rfam.